GAUGAACGCUAGCGGCAGGCUUAAUACAUGCAAGUCGAGGGGCAGCAGGUUUGUAGCAAUACAAAUGCUGGCGACCGGCAAACGGGUGCGGAACACGUACGCAACCUCCCUUUAACUGGAAGAUAGCCCACCGAAAGGUGGAUUAAUACUCCAUAAUAUAACUGAAUGGCAUCAUUUAGAUAUUAAAGCUCCGGCGGUUA
RNAcentral lists this ribosomal RNA (200 nucleotides) under uncultured bacterium. Its description in RNAcentral is "partial 16S ribosomal RNA". It matches the Rfam family "Bacterial small subunit ribosomal RNA", at positions 28 to 221 of the family's 1533-position model. The record is from RNAcentral.